AGUCGAGCGGGGAAGGGUAGCUUGCUACCUGACCUAGCGGCGGACGGGUGAGUAAUGCUUAGGAAUCUGCCUAUUAGUGGGGGACAACAUUCCGAAAGGAAUGCUAAUACCGCAUACGCCCUACGGGGGAAAGCAGGGGAUCUUCGGACCUUGCGCUAAUAGAUGAGCCUAAGUCAGAUUAGCUAGUUGGUGGGGUAAAGGCCUACCAAGGCGACGAUCUGUAGCGGGUCUGAGAGGAUGAUCCGCCACACUGGGACUGAGACACGGCCCAGACUCCUACGGGAGGCAGCAGUGGGGAAUAUUGGACAAUGGGCGAAAGCCUGAUCCAGCCAUGCCGCGUGUGUGAAGAAGGCCUUUUGGUUGUAAAGCACUUUAAGCGAGGAGGAGGCUACUUGGAUUAAUACUCUAGGAUAGUGGACGUUACUCGCAGAAUAAGCACCGGCUAACUCUGUGCCAGCAGCCGCGGUAAUACAGAGGGUGCGAGCGUUAAUCGGAUUUACUGGGCGUAAAGCGUGCGUAGGCGGCUUUUUAAGUCGGAUGUGAAAUCCCUGAGCUUAACUUAGGAAUUGCAUUCGAUACUGGGAAGCUAGAGUAUGGGAGAGGAUGGUAGAAUUCCAGGUGUAGCGGUGAAAUGCGUAGAGAUCUGGAGGAAUACCGAUGGCGAAGGCAGCCAUCUGGCCUAAUACUGACGCUGAGGUACGAAAGCAUGGGGAGCAAACAGG
Molecule: ribosomal RNA, 722 nt
Filed under: Acinetobacter johnsonii
Lineage: Bacteria; Pseudomonadati; Pseudomonadota; Gammaproteobacteria; Moraxellales; Moraxellaceae
Description: bacterial SSU rRNA
Rfam family: Bacterial small subunit ribosomal RNA
Source: RNAcentral